Molecule: ribosomal RNA, 254 nt
Filed under: uncultured bacterium
Lineage: Bacteria
Description: partial 16S ribosomal RNA
Rfam family: Bacterial small subunit ribosomal RNA
Source: RNAcentral
CACGUAGGGGGCAAGCGUUGUCCGGAUUUAUUGGGCGUAAAGAGCUCGUAGGCGGUUCGGUAAGUCGGGUGUGAAACCUCCAGGCUCAACCUGGAGACGCCACCCGAUACUGCUGUGACUAGAGUCCGGUAGGGGAGCGUGGAAUUCCUGGUGUAGCGGUGAAAUGCGCAGAUAUCGGGAAGAACACCCGUGGCGAAGGCGGCUCUCUGGGACGAUACUGACGCUGAGACGCGAAAGCGUGGGGAGCGAACAGG